This 371-nucleotide ribosomal RNA is filed under the name uncultured organism. Its description in RNAcentral is "bacterial SSU rRNA". It matches the Rfam family "Bacterial small subunit ribosomal RNA", at positions 526 to 896 of the family's 1533-position model. The record is from RNAcentral.
CGUAGGUGGCAAGCGUUGUCCGGAAUUAUUGGGCGUAAAGCGCGCGCAGGCGGUUCCUUAAGUCUGAUGUGAAAGCCCCCGGCUCAACCGGGGAAGGUCAUUGGAAACUGGGGAACUUGAGUGCAGAAGAGAAGAGCGGAAUUCCACGUGUAGCGGUGAAAUGCGUAGAGAUGUGGAGGAACACCAGUGGCGAAGGCGGCUCUUUGGUCUGUAACUGACGCUGAGGCGCGAAAGCGUGGGGAGCAAACAGGAUUAGAUACCCUGGUAGUCCACGCCGUAAACGAUGAGUGCUAAGUGUUAGAGGGUUUCCGCCUUUAGUGCUGCAGCUAACGCAUUAAGCAACUCCGCCUGGGGAUACGGCCGCAAGGCUG